GGUGGCGUCUCCGGAUGCAGAGGAGCAAGACGGGGGAGUGAAUUGGUGCUGGAGGAGGAGGAGAGGGGAGGAAAGGGUGUCGGCGGAGGCGGCGGAGGAGGAGGAGGAGGAUGAGGUGGUGGUGUCGGAGAGGGAGAUCUGGAGGGCCAUGGCGACGGCCGCGUUCUCGCGGGCAGAGACCUCGCUGAUCCACGCCGAUUCCGAGUGGUACACCCACGGAUCGAGCACCGAGCAGUUGUCCGCCAUAUCCCUCGGCGGAUUCGAGGAUCGAGAAGGGCGAUCGAUUGGGAUUGGAGCUCAGAAGGGAGUGAAGGCGAAUGGUGAGAGGCACGGAGG
RNAcentral lists this long non-coding RNA (336 nucleotides) under Musa acuminata (dwarf banana). RNAcentral's name for it is "long non-coding RNA (MACU_LNC011307)". Lineage: Eukaryota; Viridiplantae; Streptophyta; Magnoliopsida; Zingiberales; Musaceae. The record is from RNAcentral.